UUUGGUGAGAAUAGCUAUGGGGAUACACCCAGUUACAUUCCGAACCUGGAAGUUAAGCCCAUAAACGCUGAAAGUACUUGGAGGGAAGCCUCCUGGGAGGAUAGGAACUUGCCAAAC
This 117-nucleotide ribosomal RNA is filed under the name Fusobacterium mortiferum. Lineage: Bacteria; Fusobacteriati; Fusobacteriota; Fusobacteriia; Fusobacteriales; Fusobacteriaceae. RNAcentral also lists the same sequence under 2 other names. The record is from RNAcentral.